This 639-nucleotide ribosomal RNA is filed under the name Bacillus sp. GRPBd1. RNAcentral's name for it is "bacterial SSU rRNA". It matches the Rfam family "Bacterial small subunit ribosomal RNA", at positions 379 to 1007 of the family's 1533-position model. The record is from RNAcentral. Lineage: Bacteria; Bacillati; Bacillota; Bacilli; Caryophanales; Bacillaceae.
GAGUCUGACGGAGCACGCCGCGUGAGUGAUGAAGGUUUUCGGAUCGUAAAGCUCUGUUGUUAGGGAAGAACAAGUACGAGAGUAACUGCUCGUACCUUGACGGUACCUAACCAGAAAGCCACGGCUAACUACGUGCCAGCAGCCGCGGUAAUACGUAGGUGGCAAGCGUUGUCCGGAAUUAUUGGGCGUAAAGGGCUCGCAGGCGGUUUCUUAAGUCUGAUGUGAAAGCCCCCGGCUCAACCGGGGAAGGUCAUUGGAAACUGGGGAACUUGAGUGCAGAAGAGGAGAGUGGAAUUCCACGUGUAGCGGUGAAAUGCGUAGAGAUGUGGAGGAACACCAGUGGCGAAGGCGACUCUCUGGUCUGUAACUGACGCUGAGGAGCGAAAGCGUGGGGAGCGAACAGGAUUAGAUACCCUGGUAGUCCACGCCGUAAACGAUGAGUGCUAAGUGUUAGGGGGUUUCCGCCCCUUANUGCUGCAGCUAACGCAUUAAGCACUCCGCCUGGGGAGUACGGUCGCAAGACUGAAACUCAAAGGAAUUGACGGGGGCCCGCACAAGCGGUGGAGCAUGUGGUUUAAUUCGAAGCAAACGCGAAGAACCCUUACCAGGUCUUGACAUCCUCUGGACAACCCUAGAAAU